Molecule: ribosomal RNA, 253 nt
Filed under: uncultured bacterium
Lineage: Bacteria
Description: partial 16S ribosomal RNA
Rfam family: Bacterial small subunit ribosomal RNA
Source: RNAcentral
UACGGAGGGGGUUAGCGUUGUUCGGAAUUACUGGGCGUAAAGCGCGCGUAGGCGGAUUAGAAAGUUGGGGGUGAAAUCCCGGGGCUCAACCUCGGAACUGCCUCCAAAACUGCUAGUCUAGAGUUCGAGAGAGGUGAGUCGAAUUCCGAGUGUAGAGGUGAAAUUCGUAGAUAUUCGGAGGAACACCAGUGGCGAAGGCGGCUCACUGGCUCGAUACUGACGCUGAGGUGCGAAAGUGUGGGGAGCAAACAGG